Molecule: long non-coding RNA, 1872 nt
Organism: Oncorhynchus masou masou (cherry salmon)
Lineage: Eukaryota; Metazoa; Chordata; Actinopteri; Salmoniformes; Salmonidae
Exons: 5
Source: RefSeq, a predicted model, not a curated record
AUUGGCUGAUUAUCCGGUGGGGUCCACCCCAGACAAGAAAAAAAUAUAUAAAUACCCCGCUCUUCGCUCAUUCAGUCUUUCACUACCAAAGACACGGCGUGGUAAACUUCACAAAUCCUGCAGGAAGAAAUAUGGCUAUCGUUAUAGUAGUAAGUUGUCUUUGGCAGCCGCACAGCGAACACCAUGCAUCCGCAAUAAAAUGACUCGAUCCCUUUGUAACGGGUUCAGAUGGCACCACCAGGCUGACUGGCUGUUCUGGUCUACAGAGGCGGCUGUAGGAAGUCCAUGAUGUGAAGCUGCCAUCACGUCAGGAGUCUGAGACCAUGUGACCUGGAUUGAACCGCCCUCCACCCCAUCCCUCAGACUCUCAAUGCUGCAGUCUGGUUGGUCAAUCUGAGACCAUGUGACCUGCAGUGAUCCAUCAGCCCUCUGGUUCCAUAGAUGGGAAGGGCUUCCCACCACAAUGGCUGCCCAUCCUGUGGUUUCUCUGGAGUGUUGCGUUUCAGAACCGGAAGGGUGCUGACCGACUUCCACCAUGUUGAAGGGGUGGUUACUACCCACAGCUGGCGUUAUCCAAUACAUGUGCUAUGUACCAAACUAAGCAUUGUAUGUGGGCCAAAUCAUUAGCUAAAUCUUGUAAUGAAUCUGGAGAUUGGCCAAGUUCAAGAGACUAGACUGGCUUAACCCUGGAUUGUACACUGAAAUGGUACAUUUGAUUUAACAGUAGCUGGGGGGGGGGGGGGUGUGAGGUCUUUAACACUGCCCUGGUUUCUUGAUAAUCAAUUCGUUCAGGCCCUAGUUUUUAGCACACCUAGGCUCCAGUUCAAACACUUAAGAUGUACCCUACCCCCUUCAGCCCUCAUUAAGUGGACACUUCUGAUACCCUAUAAUGCUGCCUGACGAGUAUACACUUGCAGGGCAAGGAAGGAUUUAAAAUGGCUGCUCUUGCCUGGAAAUCCGUUGCUCGUCCUGCGAUUGUCUUUUAAGCCACCUUGUGGGUGUUAUGCGCUACAGUCAACUAUGAUUGCAUAUCUUACAAUGUUAAAUGGUGUCGGCAGGGUAGCCUAGUGGUUAGAGCGUUGGACUAGUAACCGGAAGGUUGCAAGUUCAAAUCCCCGAGCUGACAAGGUACAAAUCUGUCGUUCUGCCCCUGAACAGGUAGUUAACCCACUGUUCCUAGGCCGUCAUUGAAAAUAAGAAUGUGUUCUUAACUGACUUGCCUAGUUAAAUAAAGGUUAAAAAAAAUACACUUACUGUAUGUCAGCUAGCAAAUUAAUUAGUUACCUUCCGUUAGCCUGUCUAGCUGGAACAUCUGAAGAUAAAAAGUUUCCAAAAGCUAACCAAAUAGUACUUUAUGAGAUGUUUGUGCUGUCGUGUGCAUUAGUAGUACAAUUUAGAACUUAUUUAUGUUUGUUUCUACAUUCACUUGGUAAAUUGACCACUAAAACGAGGGCUGAUGGGCUUAUGUUGCAAGCUUCCCUUGCUUGGCUAAUUUGCACCGCCUGCCAAGAUGGUGACGUUAUUCCUCCACGGGCAUAAAGUGAGGGUUUUUGGUUUGGACUGUGGCCCUGUACUAAUGUCCAGUUAUAUAGUGUAGUGCCACAAAGGACACAGGCAAAUUAGUUGGCCCAGAACAGGGCAGCGCAACUGGCAUUUAAUGGGUACUUCAGGAUUUUUGGCACACAAUAAGAGUAGUGUUUUUAUUUAUGUAGGCUGUAGUUUCAUUACUUAAUUACUAUUUUGUUUCCAAUUUCUGUUAUCCUCACCCUGCCUGUAUCUGGACCCUACAGUCUGCAGCAGUAUCGUAUAUCUUGUGUCAAGACCUUGGGUCUUUUGUUCUGUUAGGGUAGUCAAUAAAGUUUUUACAAUGUG